Quercus lobata is the source of this 105-nucleotide small nucleolar RNA. NCBI's taxonomy places the organism in Eukaryota, Viridiplantae, Streptophyta, Magnoliopsida, Fagales, Fagaceae. The record is from RefSeq and is a predicted model, not a curated record.
UGUUGUUGAGAUGAUGAUAAAUGUUUAAUCCCAGCUCAUUAUGAGACCUUUCUGAGGUCUGGGAAUGUAACUAUCCUCUAUUUCAUUUAUCUUAUGUCUUUAAUC